UCCGUAGGUGGAUCAAUCAGUCAGAGGUGAAAUCCUGCAGCUUAACUGUAGAACUGCCUUUGAUACUGUUGAUCUUGAGUCAUUAUGAAGUGGUUAGAAUGUGUAGUGUAGCGGUGAAAUGCAUAGAUAUUACACAGAAUACCGAUUGCGAAGGCAGAUCACUAAUAAUGUACUGACACUGAGGGACGAAAGCGUGGGGAGCGAACAGGAUUAGAUACCCUGGUAGUC
RNAcentral lists this ribosomal RNA (228 nucleotides) under uncultured bacterium. RNAcentral describes it as "partial 16S ribosomal RNA". It matches the Rfam family "Bacterial small subunit ribosomal RNA", at positions 568 to 795 of the family's 1533-position model. The record is from RNAcentral.